GACGAACGCUGGCGGCGUGCUUAACACAUGCAAGUCGAACGGAAAGGCCCUGCUUUUGUGGGGUGCUCGAGUGGCGAACGGGUGAGUAACACGUGAGUAACCUGCCCUUGACUUUGGGAUAACUUCAGGAAACUGGGGCUAAUACCGGAUAGGAGCUCCUGCUGCAUGGUGGGGGUUGGAAAGUUUCGGCGGUUGGGGAUGGGCUCGCGGCUUAUCAGCUUGUUUGUGGUGUAGUGGCUUACGAAGGAUUUGACGGGUAGACGGCAUGAGAGGGUGACCGGCAACAAUGGGACGGAGAUAAGGACCAGACGGCUACGGGAGGCAGCAGUGGGGAAUAUUGCAAAAUGGGAGGAAGCAGGAUGAAGGAACGAAGCGGGCGGGAUGAAGGCCUUCGGGUUGUAAACAGCUUUAGAAUGUGAAGAAGAGAGAGUGACGGUAAUGGGUAAAGAAGCACCGGCUAACUACGUG
RNAcentral lists this ribosomal RNA (468 nucleotides) under uncultured bacterium. RNAcentral describes it as "partial 16S ribosomal RNA". It matches the Rfam family "Bacterial small subunit ribosomal RNA", at positions 28 to 507 of the family's 1533-position model. The record is from RNAcentral.